This 30-nucleotide small RNA is filed under the name Bombyx mori (domestic silkworm). RNAcentral's name for it is "ovarian small RNA-13352". The record is from RNAcentral. Lineage: Eukaryota; Metazoa; Arthropoda; Insecta; Lepidoptera; Bombycidae.
CAGUCGUUCCAGUUUCGUUGCGGCGAUCGC